This 442-nucleotide ribosomal RNA is filed under the name uncultured bacterium. Its description in RNAcentral is "partial 16S ribosomal RNA". It matches the Rfam family "Bacterial small subunit ribosomal RNA", at positions 338 to 795 of the family's 1533-position model. The record is from RNAcentral.
CCUACGGGGGGCAGCAGUAGGGAAUCUUUCACAAUGGGCGAAAGCCUGAUGGAGCAACGCCGCGUGCAGGAUGAAGGCCUUCGGGUUGUAAACUGCUUUUAUAAGCGAGAAAUAUGAUGGUAACUUAUGAAUAAGGAUCGGCUAACUACGUGCCAGUAGCCGCGGUCAUACGUAGGAUCCGAGCAUUAUCCGGAGUGACUGGGUGUAAAGAGUUGCGUAGGUGGCAUAAUAAGUAGCUAGUGAAAUCUGGUGGCUCAACCAUUCAGACUAUUAGCUAAACUGUUAAGCUCGAGACCGUUAGGGGUAACUGGAAUUUCUAGUGUAGGAGUGAAAUCCGUAGAUAUUAGAAGGAACACCAAUAGCGUAGGCAGGUUGCUGGGACGGUUCUGACACUAAGGCACGAAAGCGUAGGGAGCAAACGGGAUUAGAUACCCCAGUAGUC